RNA transcript from Mangifera indica (mango), 2343 nucleotides. It is a transcript of the gene named serine/threonine/tyrosine-protein kinase HT1-like, with no coding region annotated. The transcript has 4 exons. Lineage: Eukaryota; Viridiplantae; Streptophyta; Magnoliopsida; Sapindales; Anacardiaceae. The record is from RefSeq and is a predicted model, not a curated record.
GUUUUCAUAUUUUCAAUAUAAUUGAUUAUGCUUUUUUACUUUCCGUUGCUUGUUUUCAUUUUUUAAAUGAUUUGUUUAUUUGGAUUAGCCUGUGUGUGGGAUUUCGCAGGCUCCUACUUUUUCGGCUGAAUAAUAACAGGGAGGUGAACAAGUUCGGAAAAUUUUCAAGCCUUUUUAGGAUUUGAGGUUUUGAAUUACUGGGAAAAGAGAAACACAGAGAUGGGUGAAGACGCUAAUUCUUGGAUAAGGAGAACGAAGUUUUCUCCCACUGUUUGUCAUAGGCUUGAUUCUUCUAGAUUGGCUUCUAUGAAUUUUACUUUACCAGAAAGGACUUUUGGAUUGAAAUUAAGUCCCGUCACAGCUUCUUCAAAUGACAAAUCAGUUCCUACUAAAUCACAGAUUCAGAGAAAAUCAAUGAACAAGCAGAGAUCUUUAUCUCCCCUUCCCAAAACAGUUCUAUCGGAUACGUUCAAGGAAGCAAGGUCUAAUACUAAAAGAUUUUCAACUCCACUUCCCAGGAGAAAAGAAUCAGACACAGAGAAGGGACUUAAGGGAAAGUUUUCACGUAAACAUUCCCAUAAAGAUUCCAGGCCAUCAUCAGAUUCCUAUAGUAUAAGCCCACUUAAUCACUUGGGUUCUCUGAAAAUCAGUGAUAAAUUCAAGACCAGAAAGGAGUCAGCUUGGAGCAAGUAUUUUGACCACGGUGGAGGCAGGGUUAACGCUGUUGAGGCUGCAGAUGAAUAUGGUGUUGAUCUUUCCCAGCUGUUUCUGGGGCUUAGGUUUGCUCAUGGGGCACAUAGCAGGCUUUACCAUGGGAUAUACAAGGAUGAGACUGUUGCAGUGAAGAUUAUUACGAUACCUGAUGAUGACGAAAACAGAAACAUGGCAGCUCGGUUAGAGAAGCAAUUCAGACGGGAAGUUACUCUUUUAUCUCAGCUCCAUCAUGCAAAUGUCAUCAAGUUUGUAGCAGCAUGCAGAAAGCCACCAGUAUAUUUUGUCAUUACUGAAUAUCUAUCAGAAGGUUCCUUGAGGGCUUACCUGCACAAGCUUGAGCACAAAUCCCUUCCCUUACAGAAAUUAAUUAGGAUUGCUCUGGAUAUUGCACGAGGAAUGGAAUAUAUUCAUUCUCAGGGUGUCAUUCAUCGAGAUCUUAAGCCAGAAAAUGUCCUUAUUGAUGAAGAAUUCCAUCUGAAAAUUGCUGAUUUUGGUAUCGCUUGUGAAGAGCAGUACUGUGAUGCCUGGGCCGAUGACCCAGGGACUUAUCGUUGGAUGGCACCUGAGAUGAUCAAGCAUAAACCAUACGGGCGAAAGGUUGACGUUUACAGUUUCGGGCUCAUAUUAUGGGAAAUGGUGGCUGGAACAAUCCCGUAUGAGGAGAUGAAUCCCAUUCAAGCUGCUUUUGCAGUUGUGAACAAGAAUUUACGGCCUGUUAUUCCAGGGGAUUGUCCACCUGCAAUGGCAGCUUUGAUCGAGCAAUGUUGGUCCUUGCAUCCAGAGAAGAGGCCUGAGUUCUGGCACAUUGUGAGAGUAUUGGAGCAAUUUGAAUCUUCACUUGCUCGUGAUGGAACCCUAUAUCUAGUGCAAAAUCCUGCUUGCCAAGAUCAUAAGAAAGGGCUCCUUCAUUGGAUUCAAAAGCUUGGUCCCGUACAUCCUAAUAGCUCACCAGUGCCUAAACCUAAAUUCAGUUGAAUCUUCCUUUUGGCCUGGCUUUUUAUUAGUGUAACCAGGUCAAUUGUAAUUAAAAGUUUGUUGAGGCUGCAUUCAAAAGCCAAAUUUAUGAGACUCACAUGGCUUGCAUGAAGACCUAUUCUUGAGGUAACUUUGUUUAGAUAUUGUUGUUCGUAUUUGAUUGGUUUCUUUUGUAGUUGAAUUGACAUGCAUGAGAUGUAUAUAUAGAUUUGGAUUGUUGACAAGGCAGAUGCAAAUUCCUAUGUAUAAUUUUAUAGGUCGCCUUCAUGAAGUGACAAAACAUUAUCUUUGGAUUAGGUGGGUGAGUUGUGUCCUUUAAAAUUGUGGAGAUUCAAUGUAAAGUUGAUAUCCAAGUGAAGUGUGGUCCUCAUGUAAUGGAUGGUUUGUUUUUGUGUCACUACAAUUAUGCUAUUAGAUGUCAUUUUUCUUGCUUAAAAGUUUAUUAUGUCUAAGCUCUUUUCAUGGGUACCCGCAGGUUCACCUGUAUUUGCAGGGUUGGAUACAGACUUGUAUAUUUUUUACCUGUGUAAGUUGACGUUUUGUCUAUACCUGUUUUGACCUACUCUGUGCUCGACCCGUCUUUUUCUAAUGAUACUUGUAAGUGCUUUGUUUACCAUAGAUAAUCCUUUAUAAUGACAUUACCACUUUCUGUCA